Non-coding RNA from Triticum urartu, 1323 nucleotides. NCBI's taxonomy places the organism in Eukaryota, Viridiplantae, Streptophyta, Magnoliopsida, Poales, Poaceae. The record is from RefSeq and is a predicted model, not a curated record.
AGGAGAAGGCGGACGCCAUGGGUGCGGCUACAGACGAGGCGGAGGAGAAGGCGGACGCCGUGGGCUUGCUGCAUGGCUACAGCCGAGGCGGAGGAGAAGGUGGACGCCGUGGGCGUUCAUGGAGGAUGGUACGCCGGCCGCCGGCGCCGGCCGCCAGUCCUCUCUGGCCUCCUCCGUGGUAUCCUUCUCAACCUCCGCUGCUCCUGUCGUGAUUUGGAUGGAAAAUUGGAGGCCGGCCGUGUCCUUCUCCAACACAAAUUGAUGUAGUGCCCGACCCGGAUUUGAUUGGCUGCUAUAAGAAGCAAGGGUCCUCGGCCGGAAUCUCCAUCUGGUUUUGCCUUUCGACCAUAAUCUCCAUCAUCCCGUCGAAAUUGCAAUUUUUGACCAAACAUCCAAUGUCGCCGCCAAGUUCGCUGGAGGAAGAAGCGCCGAGUUCGCCGGAGGAACAAGAACGCCCGCCGAGUCCUGUGGUGGCUACACGAGAGGUAUGUAUCCCCUCUAAGCUACGCCACGGCGCGUUAGAGCCUGAAGUUCGUCAAAACUUGACCUGACCGUCACUGACGCCACCUUGCUGCCGCUGUUGCUGGAGAUGAGCUGAAUAGCAAGCUUUGGCCCUUAAGAUGAGUAAUGAACAUCCGUUGAGCCGUCCAAUGUUGCCUGUGGCAACUACACCGGAGCCAUCGUCUCCUUUGACUUCACCGCCAUCGUCUCCAUCGACUUCGCCGCAAGACAAUCUGCCACCGCCUCCGCCGAUUUUGCCGGAAGACCAUCAGCCGUCGCCUAGACCUACUUUGAGAAAAUAGAUGACAGCACUGUAACUUAAUAUUACACAGAACAUUGAAGAGGACUUUGAUAACCGACCUUCAAAAAAAGAAAAAAAUUCUGAAUCAAGUGUUCUGGAGCCAUCACCUAUGUCACCAACUAUGUCAACAUGUACUCCAGUUUCUGAGUGUUUUGAAUCGAUUGUGCCAAAAUCAGAUAAUCAGAUAGAUUGUGGUCCAUUGCCAUCACCUCCAUCCCCAUCUAGCUCGACAUUAUCAAGAACAUCGGUCGAGCCGUACAAUGGCGCCUGCAGCGGUUACACCAGAGGUAUUUAUCCCCUUGAUGAAAGCUAAUCACUGGAUGUAAUCCCCUGUUUUAGUUGUUGUUUCUGUCCUGGUUAUACAGGCAGUUUUCAACAGCAGCAGACUAGCAUGCCCAGUCUGAACUUUUAGAAUGUUUUCCCAGUUCAUGUUCAACUUUGAUCCUUUUUCCAGUUAAAGUUCCAAGCAACUUUCCUCUGUGAAUCUGAGAAUCUCACUGAAAUUUGUGUUUCAUUGUGUA